UGCCCAGCAUUUCCUAUCCCUAGCUCCUCGCGGUACCGGCCGGAAACUAUGAGCAACCUUAGGGAAGAUCGGGUAACCAACCCCGGUGGGAACUUUGGUCGUAGGCUGACAAGGAAGG
Aedes albopictus (Asian tiger mosquito) is the source of this 118-nucleotide non-coding RNA. The record is from Rfam. Lineage: Eukaryota; Metazoa; Arthropoda; Insecta; Diptera; Culicidae.